This 259-nucleotide ribosomal RNA is filed under the name uncultured eukaryote. RNAcentral's name for it is "partial 16S ribosomal RNA". The record is from RNAcentral.
GGGGGAGCAUUGGAGGCACAGAGUGGUGGGAUAAGUUGAGGGCACACGUUCUUGCGUUAGCAGCCCUGCUCGCGCUGUCGCUCCUGGCAGCUGCGCCAGCAGGGGCCCUGGGGCCGGCGGCCCACAGGAGCUACCAGGCGGGGCCGGUGCCUCACCCAACGCAAGUGCAUCAUCCAAUACUCGUUACCUACGCUGGCAGGGCCCUCGGCGGCCAUGACGGGUACUACUCCUUCCAGGCCUUCAGGUACACACCGCCCGU